AAUUAUAUAGUCUAAGAAGGAUAUUAAAUUGCAAAUUUAAAGGUGAAUUAUAUUUUUAUAAUUU
This 64-nucleotide transfer RNA is filed under the name Tropiphorus elevatus. Its description in RNAcentral is "tRNA-Cys". The record is from RNAcentral. Lineage: Eukaryota; Metazoa; Arthropoda; Insecta; Coleoptera; Curculionidae.